AACGAGGUAGUUUAAUAAAAACAUGUGUUUUGCGUACACGCAAUGGGAUGUCCUCAUCUCCCUUGUUA
This 68-nucleotide transfer RNA is filed under the name Euryhaliotrema johni. Its description in RNAcentral is "tRNA-Ala". Lineage: Eukaryota; Metazoa; Platyhelminthes; Monogenea; Dactylogyridea; Ancyrocephalidae. The record is from RNAcentral.